CUUAAUCCAACAUCGAGGUCGCAAACCCCCCUGCCGAUAAGAACUCUCAAGGGGGAUAACGCUGUUAUCCCUAAGGUAAUUUAAUCUUACAAUCAAAAUAAAUGGAUCAAGUAAAUAUAAAUAAAUAUAACAACACAAAGGAGGGGUUAAAUAAAUCCCUCCCAUCACCCCAACAAAACAUAUUAAACGGCCCAGUGAACCCUCACAAACAGAAAAAGGACCAUAAUAAAUGUUAAACUCUAUAGGGUCUUCUCGUCCCAUAAAAACAUCUAAGAAUUUUAACUCAAAGAACAAAUUCAACAAACAAUUCAAAAUUAAGACAGCCCAUGCCUCGUCAAGCCAUUCAUACCAGAUCACAAUUAAAGAACUAAUGAUUAUGCUACCUUUGCACGGUCAAAAUACCGCGGCCCUUCAACACCAGUCAGUGGGCAGGCCAUACUUCAAAAACUAA
Molecule: ribosomal RNA, 451 nt
Filed under: Reticulitermes lucifugus
Lineage: Eukaryota; Metazoa; Arthropoda; Insecta; Blattodea; Rhinotermitidae
Description: partial 16S ribosomal RNA
Source: RNAcentral